This is an RNA transcript of Oreochromis niloticus (Nile tilapia), 2809 nucleotides long. It is a transcript of the gene named dCMP deaminase, with no coding region annotated. NCBI's taxonomy places the organism in Eukaryota, Metazoa, Chordata, Actinopteri, Cichliformes, Cichlidae. The record is from RefSeq and is a predicted model, not a curated record. The transcript has 13 exons.
AGUGAAACAUUGUUGGAUGCAAGCUGCCGUUAAAAACUAAGGAAGAAGAAGAAGAGGAGCCAAUCUAGCGUCGCGUUGUUGACUACCCGGGAGAAACAAAACUAGCUAAAGUAAAACGAAAAGCUCCAGAAGAAUGAUUCAUACGAGUUAUAUCUCUUUGUGAAAAAAAAGGAUAAAGGAGUGUUAAUGAAGCUUCGACUUUUUAAACAUUUAAUUCGGCUUCUUUAAAUUUAGCGUUGUCACAACAGAGAAACUCCUUCUUACCUAUUGGUAUCAACUGGCUCUUCUUUCUUUUACAUCUAUUUAAAAUGUUGUCUACUGGAGAUGUUCAAGGUUAUCUCCGUAAACUGGAAGCUCUCCUGCGAGUGAUCAAGUACCCGGGAUACAUCGACUACAAUGGGCUGUCCAAAGGAGAUCCAUCAGCUUUUCUGCCAAUACUGAGUUUCACCCUCACCUCCUUCUCUCCACCUUUUGCUGAGCAACUGAUGGCAGCUGGUUUAGAGCUGACAGGCAAAACUGACCUCCGCUUUACAGAGACUGUUUAUAAGUUAGGACGCUUUUUAUGCUCGAGUGAUUUACAGGUGUUACGAGAUAUCUUCCAGUAUAAGCCCAUGCUGACCAAGCAGCAGUUCCUCCAGUGGGGGUUCUCUCAAAGGAAAAUCUCUGUCAUCUGUGAUAUUAUUAAUUUGGUCCUACAGAAACACAGCCAGCUGAAGAAGGUAUCCAAGAAGUCAUUUGUCAUACAUCACAUGGAAAAUCCUAUGACAUCUCCCACAAACUCCUCCCAUACUGAACCAUUCUCCUUGUAUAAUGGAACAUGUGCCUCUCGUGAAGUAUACUCCCCUGAUUCUUCCAGCAAUGACGCUGCAGAGCUGCCAGGAAAAGAGGAUAAGGAUAACAGCCUUCAUGAUGUGGGAGAAGUCGUCACCAUAUCCAGAGAAAGCUGGGAAAACCUGAUAAGCAGAGUCCUGCUGUUGGAAACAAAAUUUGAACAGAGAAAUACACAGGAAGACUGUAAACGGGCUACUGACGGGAUACAAAGCGUUGCCAACUUUGGCAAAACCAAGAAAAGAGAGGACUACCUUGAAUGGCCAGAGUACUUCAUGGCUGUGGCCUUUCUGUCAGCACAAAGAAGCAAAGACCCGAACUCCCAGGUGGGAGCAUGUAUAGUGAACCAGGAGAAUAAGAUAGUGGGCAUCGGUUACAAUGGUAUGCCUAAUGGCUGUAAUGAUGACCUGCUGCCAUGGUCUCGCUCUGCUGAUGACCAGCUUGACACUAAAUACCCUUAUGUGUGCCACGCAGAGCUGAAUGCUAUUAUGAAUAAGAACAGUGCUGAUGUGAAGGACUGCACCAUGUAUGUGGCUUUGUUCCCCUGUAAUGAGUGUGCCAAGCUCAUUAUUCAGGCAGGUCUGAAGGAAGUGGUGUAUCUUUCUGACAAGUACCAUGACACACCUGAAAUGACUGCUUCCAGAAGGCUCCUCAGUAUGGCAAAGAUCAAGUACAGAAAGCUCAUCAUACAGACAAGACUGGGAGAGGCCUGUGAAAGUCAGGGGACGUUUCAGGAAUACCUGCUAGACCCAAGUUAUGAUGCUCAAUGUGGCUUAAAAAGAUCCCAAGACAUGUCUGUGAGGUGAACUAUGGAUUUUUGUGGUUACAAACCUCCACAUGAACCUUGUUAUAACUUCUCAGAGUAGGAGGCCAAUAAAAACCUUUAAAAGGCAGUUCAAGCCCAAGAGGACUGAGAUUGUCAUUGAUUUUAAUUCCAUUAACUACUCUGGAAUGCUGAACUGCGCAACCAAGUGAAAAUGCAAAUGACUCACCUUGGGGAGCUGUUGAAUGAGGCAGUGAGUCAGACGAAGAAUGACGAGAUUAAAAGGGACUUUGAUGCCUCUUUUUAUGUAUGUCUUCUCGCCUCCUGCUUUGUCCAAAGGAAAACUCAAGGAUAACCUGACUUUGGCAUCUUUGAUAUUUUGAUUUGCUGCUUUAACGUUUUUCUUUUAAAACUCCCUCUGGGUCGAGGAAUUCAUAAGGCUUAUGAACAAACUGUAGUGUUUUAUGUGUAAGUCUCCUGUGUUUGGUUUUCUUAUGGCGAGGUGUCUGGAGAGUAAAUCAGAAAUCUGUUUCUGUCAUCCUGCAAGCUUCCAGGCUCGUUCUCCUAUAUGAAGACCACUUAACCUUUGUUCAUAUUCACAGUUAAAUCUGUUUUUUGAGACUGGGAGAUGCUGUUAUUACUGCUGCCACUCAGUGUUUCAGUAUUUUAUUUCAUCCUCUCGACUGAUGCCACCUCUACAAUACUGGGCUUUAAUAUUGUUAAUUCGAAUUAGCUGUAUGCAGCUGAGCCUCAUCACUCAUUAUAGCCAAAUGGUAGUUUUAAUUAAGCAAACAAGCCAUGAAAGGCUGGUUGUGUAUUUUUAUCACAGUUUGUGAAUAUGAUCCUGGUGACCUCGACAUCUGACCUCACAGUCAGUGUCAGAGGUCAAGUUUUAAAUCUUGGUGAUAAGUUAGGACGAUUUUCCCUUUUAUUUGGUGUAGCUGCAUCUACUAGCAGGAUGAGGUGUAACACUGGAAGGUGCCAAUAUUAUUUGCAAUUAAGUUCAUCAAACCUGUUUACAAAAAGUAAUGUCUGUAAAUUUUACCCCAUCUCUGACUUUUUACUAAGUGUUCUGAUCUUUAAUGCCUCCUCUGUAGUGAAGAAUGUCUUUACUACAGCUGGAGUAAAGUGUCAGAAACAAGAGAGCACACAGUUUUUAUUUUGGACCUUUGUAACAGAAUGUAAAUCUUUCAUUCAUUAAACAUGCGUGAAAACGAA